Molecule: long non-coding RNA, 245 nt
Filed under: Glycine max (soybean)
Lineage: Eukaryota; Viridiplantae; Streptophyta; Magnoliopsida; Fabales; Fabaceae
Description: long non-coding RNA (GMAX_LNC004152)
Source: RNAcentral
GAAAGUAGAGCUGAUUAGAAGGUGGAGGGAUUUAAACAAUAGUCGGCUGAUGAACCAACACUGGAACUGGUUGGUGAUUUAGUUGAACUUGAAGAAAUUGUUGAGGAAGCAGAAGGUGAUGAGGAAGGAGCGACACCAAUAAGAGACUGUCAAGAAAAAGAAAAAGAAGAAGAAAUAAAAGAAGAAGAAGAAGAAAAGUUGAAAAAUGAAAAACAAAAAGAGAAGGUUGUUGAGAUUGCGAAGAA